ACAGGGAGGAGGUACAGAGGAUCAUUCUACAAGAAGGUCUUUGCUCACCACACAGCAUUACACCUAACUCUCCCCAAAAAGCAGAACGAUGUCCAAGUUUUCGACAUUAGGUUUCCUUGUCGCUGUUUUGGCGGUAUGUGCCCUGGACCACCUGACCACCUCGGCCUCUGUGGGUCGCGUGGUCAGACAGAUCUCCAACGGCUCUUCCCCCAACAGCACACACAGAUGUAUUCCUGACUUGACGUUCCACUACAACGAGACCACCGGAAGCUGGCAAGCCGUUCUUCCACCUGUACUCUCCAACGGAUCCGAUUCCAACGUUAACAGUAAUGAUACUUGGAGCCCAAGAAACUUCACCGAGU
Molecule: long non-coding RNA, 362 nt
Organism: Aplysia californica (California sea hare)
Lineage: Eukaryota; Metazoa; Mollusca; Gastropoda; Aplysiida; Aplysiidae
Exons: 2
Source: RefSeq, a predicted model, not a curated record